RNAcentral lists this long non-coding RNA (1884 nucleotides) under Manihot esculenta (cassava). RNAcentral's name for it is "long non-coding RNA (MESC_LNC007629)". Lineage: Eukaryota; Viridiplantae; Streptophyta; Magnoliopsida; Malpighiales; Euphorbiaceae. The record is from RNAcentral.
CAUAUCCGAUAGAUCUGGUUCUCCCUCGUCCCCUAUUAUAUGGAUCUGAUUCCUUUUUGGACUCUCUGAUGGGUUUAUCAAAUGAGUCUCUCUAUAUUCUCUUUGAGAAAAUAACCUGCAAAAUAAGGGAAAAGGGGGUCAAGGGUCCACCGGGGAUGCCCCGGCGGAAACCCUCCGACGCUAAGUCAGAUUUACAAGUUAGAAUAGUGUGGAUAAGCAAGAGUUGCAGAGAGAAAAUAAGAAAAAUGGAGUUAAGGAAGAAGGAGCAGGAGAGAGAGCCCCCUCCUUGAAGGAAAAGACCCUUCAAUAUAUAGUGCUUCCUGUCCUUUUCACUCAGGCCCGUACGUACAGUUGUGUCAGGCACUUGCUCCAUGCGUAACGACCAUUUAAUGCUCUCCAAAGCGCAUGCGGGUAGGGCUGGUGAGUAAUUGGGCCUACUCCCUUAUGGGGCUUGUGCUCAUAUCUGAUCCGGAUCACCCUGGGUUGCCGGCUCAGGCUCGUGAAGUCGAGCCGCCUCUCUAACGUAUGAUCUGAUGGAUUUUGGAUCUGUGGCCUUCUUUUGAACCCAACCUUAUUCCUAUCAAGAAUAAUUCAGUUUUUUAUAUAAUUUUAAUGGUAGAAAUACACAAAAUUAAAUAAAAUAACUAUUUUAUUAAUAAAAACAUUUUAAUUAUUUUUUUAAAAUACAUGAAUUAAAUUAUAAAUAAUGAUAAUAUUCUGAAAUUAUUAAAUCUUCCAAUAAUUAAAUGUGUGGUAUAUGAAAUAAAACAGUGGAAUUAACGGUGAUUACUACAACAAGUGGAUGAAAAUAGAUAAUAAGGUCCUAAACUUUUCAACAUCAUUGGCACGUCUGCUCAAGGAUGUAUAUCCUGCAUGCAAUACAGGUCCUCAAAUAUAUUUAAUUGAAAAUAACGUAUUGAACACCAAAAUUAAAAUGAUAAUAUAUUCAAUACUUAAAAGUUAUAAAAACCAUACUAAUAAAUAGACAUAAAUUAAUAAUAUUGUUUAUAAUUUAUAGAAAAAUAAAAUAAAAUUGAUAGUACAUGAAUAAACUCUAAAUUUUAUUAAAUGUUUAUGAUUUUUUAUAAAUUAACAAAAUUAAUUAAAUAUGAUUUUAUUAUUUUAUAAAAAUUAAAAGUAUAAUUAGAAAAAUUUUGAUUACCAUUAAAAUAAGUUGAAUAUUUUUAAUGACAUCAAUAACCUUAUAUUUAAUAUUUUCGUUUAAAAUUAAAUUAAAAUAAAAAAAAACUAAAAGAAUAAUAAUAACAAUCCCUUUGAAACCAUAAUACAAAAUAAACCCCAAAUCCAGAAACAUUCCAUCGCAACCUAGCAAGAUCUUGAACUUCUAUGCCUAACUAAAUAAACCCAAAAACACAAAUUCAAAAUAUUUUUUUCAAGAAGAAGCAAUAUUCAUUACAAACAAAUAACUAUUUCGAAUUCAUUAAAUCUAUAAUACAAAACCCACAAAUUCAAAUCCUAAAUCAUAUUUCAACAUUGAAGAAUACUAUAAAUCAGAAAUAAAUCCAUAUUACCCUAUCAUCAAACAAAUAAACCCAUACGUCUCUGUUCCCUUUCGCGUUAACCCUUACAGUGACUCAACCUCGCGUAAAUCCAACUAUUACUUUUGCUCCUCGUGUGAACUCAAUCACUGUUUCAGCUCCUCGUGUCUGCUCUAGGUGCGUUUCCUCUUAGCUCGCGUGAACCCAGCGUCGCGUCGGCUCAGCCUCGUGUGCAGCUUUUCUCCACCUCCAUCGUUUUUGUGAAAUUGAUAGGACAGAAGUUAAUUUAGUUUAGGUUAAAUGUUGGCACCAAUCUUUUGUAAUUGUGACAUUUUGGAGCCUUUUUUUAGUCAAGGGUAAAGUUGUCAUUUUCUCUCGAAUUAAC